This 406-nucleotide ribosomal RNA is filed under the name uncultured bacterium. Its description in RNAcentral is "partial 16S ribosomal RNA". It matches the Rfam family "Bacterial small subunit ribosomal RNA", at positions 30 to 526 of the family's 1533-position model. The record is from RNAcentral.
AUUGAACGCUGGCGGCAUGCCUAACACAUGCAAGUCGAGCGAGCGGCGGACGGGUGAGUAAUGUCUGGGAAACUUCCCGAUGGAGGGGGAUAACUACUGGAAACGGUAGCUAAUUCCGCAUACCAUCAGAUGUGCCCAGUUGGGAUUCGCUAGUAGGUGGGGUAACUGCUCACCUAGGCGACGAUCCCUACCUGGUCUGAGAGGGUGACCAGCCACACUGGAACUGAGACACGGUCCAGACUCCUACGGGAGGCAGCAGUGGGGAAUAUUGCACAAUGGGCGAAAGCCUGAUGCAGCCAUGCCGCGUGUGUGAAGAAGGCCUUCGGGUUGUAAAGCACUUUCAGCGGGGAGGCGUUACCCGCAGAAGAAGCACCGGCUAACUCCGUGCCAGCAGCCGCGGUAAUAC